Pogoniulus pusillus (Red-fronted tinkerbird) is the source of this 2449-nucleotide long non-coding RNA. RefSeq lists it as uncharacterized. The transcript is spliced from 3 exons. NCBI's taxonomy places the organism in Eukaryota, Metazoa, Chordata, Aves, Piciformes, Lybiidae. The record is from RefSeq and is a predicted model, not a curated record.
UUUUCUUUGCUUCCAUUUUCGGGCUGAAGGCUCCAAGAAGAAAGAGAGAGGGGAGAGGAGGGCACAGGCUCCGGCGAGGAGGAAGGAGCAGGCGUAGGUCCGGGUGCGGUCAUAGAGCCAGCCUGCAGGGGAAGGAGCCGGUGAGAGCUGCAGGAGUGGAGUUUAACUUGAUCCUCUGGAAUGGAAUCCUUGGAAUGGAGUUCAGCUUGAUCCUUUGGAGUGGGAUCCCUGGGGUGGGGUUUGGUUUGAUCCCUGGGGUGGGGUUUAACUUGAUCCUUUGGAGUGGGAUCCUUGGAGGGGCUUAUUUUGGUCCUGGGAGUGGGAUCCUUGGAGUGGGGUUGAAUUUGACCCCUGGAGUUGGGUCUGAUUUGCUCCUGGGAGCGGAGUUUAAUCUGAUCCAUGGAGUUUUUUGAUCCUUGGGUUGGGAUUUCGCUGGAUCCUUUGGAGUGGGAUCCUUGGAGGGCCUUAAUUUGAUCCUGGGAGUGGGGGUUUAGUUGGAUCCGUGGAGGUUUUGGAUCCCUGGAGUGGACUUUACUGUGUUGCUGGGCGUGGAGUUGGGUUUGCCCUGCAGUGGAGCUGUGGCUGGGUUGAAGCCCACCUCUGGGUUUGCUUUUCUUUCCUUUGCCUCUUAUUUAAAGGGGGAGGGGGGGGGGGGGGGAGGGGAAUCUCUCCCAGCAGCAGCCCCUGGGGCUGUGGCCAUGACCUGCAUGUGGUGGUUGAACAUCUGGGCUGCAAACUCCUCCUCUCUCCAGCUUUGCCUUCUCAGCAGCUCCAGAUCCACCUCUGCUGGGAGAGAUCCCAGGCCAGGAGCUGGACGGGAACUGCUUUGUGAGCACUGAGAAGGGAAGAAGAAAGCUGAGUCCCACCAAGCCCGAGGGGCUGAGGUCACCUCUCCAAGUGCCCUCCAGGUGUCUGGGUUGGUUCCAGCAGGUUUGUGUCUCAAGAAUGAUUCUUUUAAAGGGGAGGGAGGAGAAUUCCUCUCUUGGGAUCAAACCUACCCAAAGUGUUGGGAGUGCUGCAUUAAAAACCUUCCCCUGCUCCCAGGUGUGCUGCUGGGGGCUGCUGAGGUGGGUCUGCAGCCAAGCCAGAGCUGCUGCUGGGGUAAGAUGAAGCUCUUCUGGAGGCAUCUCUGAGGUGUACAGGACAGAGGGACUGGGGCAGGCUGCAGAGGUGGACCCAAGGCAAGCUCAUGAGGUUCAGCAAGGGCAAGGCUCCUGCAGCUGGGGCAGGGCAGUGCCAAGCACAGAUCCAGGCUGGGUGAGCAGUGGAGGAGAAGGCCUUGGGGGUCUCAGUAGGUGCCAAAGUGCCCAGCAGCCAGCACUGGUUGCUGGCAGCCCAGAGGCAGCUGAGUGCUGGCUGCAGCCAGAGCAGGGGAGCAGCAGCACAGGGAGGGGAUUCAGCUCUGCUCUGCUCAGCCCUCACCUGCAGCACUGCCUCCAGCUCUGGGCCACCAGCACAAGGACCUGGAGCUGCUGGAGAGGGUCCAGAGGAGGCCAUGGAGAUGCUGAGAGGCUGCAGAACCUCCCCUAUGGGACAGGCUGGGAGAGUCUGAGGCUGUGCAGCCUGGAGAGGAGAAGGCUCCAGGGAGAGCUCAGAGCAGGCUGAAGGAGCUGCAGGAGAGCUGGGGAGGGACUGUGGGCAAGGGCUGGGGAGCUGCUGGUGGGUGCCUGCUGGAGGCUGUUUGGUUGGUGCCUGCGGGGGGGCUGCUGCUGGGGGCUGGGAUGUGCUUUCUAACUGGGAUUCCAUGGUUUGUUCUCUCUCCUUCCAGCUGGAGCUCCUGAUUUGCCCUGCUCAAGGCCACCCAAAGUGCUCUUCCCUCCUUAGCUUGCUGUUCAUGGCUCACCAAGGGAGGGUUUGUUCUGCCUUUGGGCUUCUUCAGCAUCUGGCAGAGGAUUUGCUGUGAAGGAACCUUCAAAACCUUUCAACCUGAGCCAGGCCAACUGCCUUCAGCUUCCAGGUUCAGCAGGUUUGCAGAGAGAAGAAGCAGGAGGGGAGCUAGGAGCAAGUUCUACCCUUGGAUGCUUGUGGUGGGUACCUGCUGUGUGAGAGGGAAGUGUUUACCUGCCAGGGGAGGUCCUCCAAUGGCUGCAAACCCAGCAAAGAAGGCAGCAAAGCCCAGGUAGCUGUGGAGCUUCUGCACCCCCACCAGAUCCACCUGUUAGGGAAAGCAAAGGGUCAGUGGUGCCUGAGCUCCUGGCAGUGCCCAGAGGGAGAGAGAGGUCUGGGGUAGCUGUUGAUCAGUGCCAACUCUGAGCCAGGCUGUGCCCAGGGGACUAAGAAGGGCAUCAGCAGCCUGGCCUGGAGCAGCCACAGUGUGGGCAGCAGGAGCAGGGCAGGGAUUGUCCUCUUGGCCACUUCAGAGGCCACAGCUGGAAUCCUGGGGUCAGUUUUGGGCACUCUCAGGAGGAUAUUGAGAGGCUGCAGCAGGUCCAGAGAAGGGCAAGAAAGG